Molecule: long non-coding RNA, 754 nt
Filed under: Apteryx owenii (little spotted kiwi)
Lineage: Eukaryota; Metazoa; Chordata; Aves; Apterygiformes; Apterygidae
Description: lncRNA (ENSAOWG00000008455.1)
Source: RNAcentral
CUGUGGGAAAAGAUUAUAUUUUUUUUGUUUUAAAGACACCGCAUAACAUCUACAUAACACAUUUCCCAAAUGAAUUUUGUACAUAUUUUACCUUUUAAAAAGUGAAGAUUGGGAAAAGGAAUCUAGUACUGAAAGAAACACGUAGCUUUUAAUCACCCUUCAUAAAUGAAAUGUACACACUCGCUGUCUUUUGCUAGUCACCUCUGCUCAAAUCUGUGAUCAUGUGUUACAACAAAAAAAUCUUCAGGUCUCGCAUGAACAUUAUGUCUAGAAGUAAAGUUCUUAACAAUGAAAUUGCAUUGUCCUUGUAAGGAACCUUCCCAUUAGCUGAACAAGUGAAACCCCUGAGCUUCUUGGUUAUUGGCAUUCUAUUAGGGAAAAGUAUUAUUCUUAUAGAACAACAUGACGGAAGUAGAUUUCUGAGGAAGGUUUUGGUGAAGAUAAUAAUGCUUUAUUUAUCAGCUCAGCCUGAGGUGAAGACUUUUGUAUGGAAAGAGGUGUGGAAGAGAUGCAGAGGGGCAUGGAGAAGACAGAUGAUGGAUGCAGUGGGAGGCCUGGAGGAAGUCCUGGGGCUGAUGGUGUGAGCAGUAGAGGAAGAGCUACCGAGAUGUAUUAUGAAAGCGUCAGAGUGACAGACAAACUGUCAAAUAAACUCAAAACCCCAAAUGGAAAGAGUUCAGAAAACAGCAUCAAGAAAAUUUCAGGCCUGUCUGUGGCUACAUGCCAACCAUGGGGGUUCAAGUUCAAGUCCUGA